RNAcentral lists this ribosomal RNA (479 nucleotides) under uncultured bacterium. RNAcentral describes it as "partial 16S ribosomal RNA". It matches the Rfam family "Bacterial small subunit ribosomal RNA", at positions 28 to 507 of the family's 1533-position model. The record is from RNAcentral.
GAUGAACGCUAGCGGGAGGCCUAACACAUGCAAGCCGAGCGGUAGAGAUCUUUCGGGCUCUUGAGAGCGGCGUACGGGUGCGGAACACGUGUGCAACCUGCCUUUAUCAGGGGGAUAGCCUUUCGAAAGGAAGAUUAAUACCCCAUAAUAUAUUGAAUGGCAUCAUUUGAUAUUGAAAACUCCGGUGGAUAGAGAUGGGCACGCGCAAGAUUAGAUAGUUGGUAGGGUAACGGCCUACCAAGUCAGUGAUCUUUAGGGGGCCUGAGAGGGUGAUCCCCCACACUGGUACUGAGACACGGACCAGACUCCUACGGGAGGCAGCAGUGAGGAAUAUUGGACAAUGGGUGAGAGCCUGAUCCAGCCAUCCCGCGUGAAGGACGACGGCCCUAUGGGUUGUAAACUUCUUUUGUAUAGGGAUAAACCUUUCCACGUGUGGAAAGCUGAAGGUACCAUACGAAUAAGCACCGGCUAACUCCGUG